UACCUGCUGGCCCGGGAGCGUUCGCCGGCCCACCUGGUGGCUUUCCCUGGACGUUUAACGGCGACUCCGCCCGGCCUCCCGACUUUUUGAUGCAGGCGUUCUCUUACAUGACUUUCUUCGAGGCUAGAUUCUCGAAAGACAUCCUGAAGGUGGCUUUCUUAAUUAGCUGCCUCACCGGCUGGCGGAGCAGUUCGUAGUCGCCUACAUCGAGAGGGAGAGCCCCGUCCUGGCUCAGUACUGGGGCUUCGUGGACGCGCUGUAGCGGGUCUUCGCCGUCGUGGGUAGGAAACAGUCGGGCCGGAUCCCCGGUGUCUGGGGAGCGGCUGCCGGCCGGGCCCGCGCGAGCCGCUUCACUCCUACAAGCCCGGCUCACUAGUUCCAAGCUGCUGGACUUUGACCCUCGCUGGGAAGCUUGAUCGCCGCCUGUUCUCGCCAAUCUCUAUGCCUUUGCACUGCCCAGCAACCCGGUCACUGCCCAGGACCUGUUAAAAGUUGAAUGGACCUCCCAGAAUCACGCCGCUGCCACCGCCGUUUCUAGAGACGGCUUUUGGCCACCUUUGAGAAUCAGGGUCAAACUUGGAAGGGCCUGCAUUUGUCACACUUCCUCGGACACUAAUUUGGAUAGUUCAGGCCCAGAGACGGCUUCCCGGUAGGCUUCACUAGCUUCCUGCUUCUCAAAUCCCUUGAAAAGAUGAGAUUUUUUUUUCGUGGAGUUCACGUCUAAUCCUUUGCACAUGGCCUGCUAUCAACAAUCCUCUACAAUGAUUCUCAGCAUCACCUAGGGAGCUUAUGUAAAAUCUCAAAUUCCUGGGCCCUAUCCCCAGAGUUUCUUAUCAAGUAAGUCUGCAUUGGGAUCUGAGGAUUUGCAUCUCUAACAAAAAUUCCUAGGCGAUGCUCACACUGUUGGUGUAAGGUUUCCUUGAUGGAGAACUAUCAAAGCAGUCAAAGCUAUCAAAAUAAAAAAGAAUUCUGAUUGGGUGCAGUGGCUCACACCUGUCAUUCCAGCACUUUGAGAGGCCAAGGUGGGCAGAUCACAUGAGGCCAGGAGUUCAAGACCAGCCUGGCCAACAUGGCAGAAACCCCAUCUCUACUAAAAAUACCAAAA
Molecule: long non-coding RNA, 1105 nt
Organism: Homo sapiens (human)
Lineage: Eukaryota; Metazoa; Chordata; Mammalia; Primates; Hominidae
Product: long intergenic non-protein coding RNA 667
Source: Ensembl